AAAUCUGGCGCCUUCGGUGUCCGAGUUGUAAUUUGAAGAAGGUAACUUUGGUUUUGGCUCUUGUCUAUGUUCCUUGGAACAGGACGUCACAGAGGGUGAGAAUCCCGUGCGAUGAGAUGCCCAAUUCCAUGUAAAGUGCUUUCGAAGAGUCGAGUUGUUUGGGAAUGCAGCUCUAAGUGGGUGGUAAAUUCCAUCUAAAGCUAAAUAUUGGCGAGAGACCGAUAGCGAACAAGUACAGUGAUGGAAAGAUGAAAAGAACUUUGAAAAGAGAGUGAAAAAGUACGUGAAAUUGUUGAAAGGGAAGGGUUUGAGAUCAGACUUGGUAUUUUGUAUGUUUUACUCUCGGGUGAGGCCUCUGCAGUUUACUGGGCCAGCAUCAGUUUGGAUGGUAGGAUAAUGACAUUGGAAUGUGGCUCUUCGGAGUGUUAUAGCC
This 433-nucleotide ribosomal RNA is filed under the name Scheffersomyces coipomensis. RNAcentral's name for it is "eukaryotic LSU rRNA". It matches the Rfam family "Eukaryotic large subunit ribosomal RNA", at positions 118 to 558 of the family's 3401-position model. Lineage: Eukaryota; Fungi; Ascomycota; Pichiomycetes; Serinales; Debaryomycetaceae. The record is from RNAcentral.